Molecule: ribosomal RNA, 618 nt
Filed under: uncultured archaeon
Lineage: Archaea
Description: bacterial SSU rRNA
Rfam family: Archaeal small subunit ribosomal RNA
Source: RNAcentral
AUACCGGAUAAGCCACAUAUGCUGGAAUGCUUUGUGGCUCAAAGCUCCGGCGUCCAAGGAUGGGUCUGCGGCCUAUCAGGGUAGUAGUGGGUGUAAUGUACCUACUAGCCUACGACGGGUACGGGUUGUGAGAGCAAGAGCCCGGAGAUGGAUUCUGAGACACGAAUCCAGGCCCUACGGGGUGCAGCAGGCGCGAAAACUUUACAAUGCGGGAAACCGCGAUAAGGGAAUCUCGAGUGCCAGCAUAUAAUGUUGGCUGUCCAGAUGCCUAAAAAGCAUUUGUUAGCAAGGGCCGGGCAAGACCGGUGCCAGCCGCCGCGGUAACACCGGCGGCCCGAGUGGUAACCGUUAUUAUUGGGUCUAAAGGGUCUGUAGCCGGCCGAAUAAGUCUCUUGGGAAAUCUGGCAGCUUAACUGUCAGGCAGUCAGGGGAUACUGUUCGGCUUGGGACCGGGAGAGGUGAGAGGUACUUCGGGGGUAGGGGUGAAAUCUUGUGAUCCUCGAGGGACCACCAGUGGCGAAGGCGUCUCACCAGAACGGGUCCGACGGUAAGGGACGAAAGCUAGGGGCACGAACCGGAUUAGAUACCCGGGUAGUCCUAGCCGUAAACGAUGCUUGC